UACGGAGGGUGCAAGCGUUAAUCGGAAUUACUGGGCGUAAAGCGUGCGUAGGUGGUUCGUUAAGUCCGUUGUGAAAGCCCCGAGCUCAACUUGGGAAUUGCAGUGGAUACUGGCGAGCUAGAGUGCGGUAGAGGAAGGUGGAAUUCCCGGUGUAGCGGUGAAAUGCGUAGAGAUCGGGAGGAACACCAGUGGCGAAGGCGGCCUUCUGGACCAGCACUGACACUCAAGCACGAAAGCGUGGGGAGCAACAGGAU
Molecule: ribosomal RNA, 254 nt
Filed under: uncultured bacterium
Lineage: Bacteria
Description: partial 16S ribosomal RNA
Rfam family: Bacterial small subunit ribosomal RNA
Source: RNAcentral